Long non-coding RNA from Acanthopagrus latus (yellowfin seabream), 1826 nucleotides. RefSeq lists it as uncharacterized. NCBI's taxonomy places the organism in Eukaryota, Metazoa, Chordata, Actinopteri, Spariformes, Sparidae. The record is from RefSeq and is a predicted model, not a curated record. The transcript has 2 exons.
UGCAUGAUAUAUGUUUAAGUUAUGUUUUAACUACAAGGUUAAGAUGGCAGCAGUUACAGUAAUACUCACAAUAGCGCAUAUGGCCAUACGAUGUUGCAGUCGAGCUACGUAGCUUGUCGCUAAAUCUAUCUUGUUAACUUGUAUGCUAACUCUGGUGUUUAGCUGUGUGUUUAUGGCUACUGAUUAACAAAAGUGUCUUUCAAGAGACCGGGCAGUUAUAAGACCAUUACUUUGUGUUUAGGGCUCUCUGAGGUGGUUGAAUUGGUUUAGAGAAAUAACAUUACUCAUGCUUCAGAGAAAAAAUGUUGCACCGGGUAAUGAUUAGCUGGUAGCUUUGUCUACAGUGAAGUGAGGAAUAUUGUUUGUUACUCAGGAUAUCUACAGUGAUCGGCACGAGGCACUCAAUAUUGUGAUUUAGUUGUAUUCAUCAGAAAUAGAACUAUCAGGGCUUAUGUUGUUGUUAUUUUGAAUACAACAUGGUUACCUGGUGUCCUCUGUUAUCAUGGUUACAAGCCUGCUGGUGCAGGGCAGGCUCCUCUGUAGGGAGGGGCUUUGAAGGCAGGGCUGUAGGAAGAAGGAGGGAGCUGGAGCUGUGCUUAUCCAAAUUAUCUGGCUAAGUCCAAUUUUUCCUCAAAGCUGGUCAAGAUUGCAGCUUUAAUCUGUGUGGUUUUUAAGUUCAUGUUUUAUUAGUUUUUUUGUUUUCUUUUUUUGUUUAAGCAUGGUCUCACUUCUCCUGGUACAUUAUGACACUACAUUCAUACAUACAUUUAUCUCUCAAAAAGAGGAUGAGAAUAACUUUGUUUCGAUACUACUGUAUCUGUUAAAUGAAUAUUUCUUGUGCAAAAUAAUGUUUUCAGGCUUCCACAUUGCCCCACAUUGCUACUUGUUUGUGCUACUGCUGAUUGAAAAAAAUAAUAAUAAAUAAAAGGAAAAAAACAGUUGGCAAUUUGUUUAUUAUUGGUAAUCUGCUAUUAGUAUCAUGUGGGCCUACCUCCCCCAACUUAUUAAAAAAAACUAUAUUACCACUAAUAAGUGGUAAGAAAAGUUAUAGAUUUGUAAUUUUGCUAAUUUAUGUAUCCUUUUUGAAAAGAAAAGAAGAUGCAUAUAUUUCUCUUAUUUCUUUAAUCAUUACCCUAUUGAUUUAAUAAUGUAUUAGAAAUAAGUCAAAAAAAGUUUCCUAAAAAAUAUUGUAUUGCUUGAAUUGGCCUUACUUCAAAGGUUUUGUAAUUACAGUGUCAAAGAAGCUGAAUCUAGCAGCAUAAUGCUUUUGAAUCCGAGUCACUAAUUGAACACCGAUGGUAGCCACUCACUGUGUGGGGAACAUAGUAUAAAUGCGGCAGCCCUCCUCGGCUCUCUCUCUCUCUCUCUCUCUCUCUCUCUCUCUCUCUCUUUGCGCUCUCUCUUUGACACAUCACUUCCGGUCCAGAAGUUUUGGCUCUCGGCGGGUAGGAAGAUAUGCUGUCCAUCACUUCCACUUUGCCAGUUGUUGAUUCUUCAUUCUUAUGGCGCAUGUAUGUUGUAUUGCAGAACGGCUGAGCUGACAUGCCCUGCUUAGUGUGUGCUGGUCCCGUUGGAUUGCGGUGAGGCCAGUGCUGGUGACCUGGGUGGCUGUGUCACUUCCCUCCCUGUGUGCUGUGCUGGGGAUUUUGGUUACACACAAAGUGUGUGUGAGUGUCACGUGCCUGGGUGACUUGAAUAUAGUUUGGACCCCUCCCCUCACUAGUUUCCCCCCAUUAACGAGCCUCAGCCCUGAAUAGGCUCCCUUUUAAAUUUUGUGUGGAUGUUACAUUGUUUUGAUAAGAUUUAAUAAUAAAGUAUACACUGUA